RNAcentral lists this long non-coding RNA (1263 nucleotides) under Phoenix dactylifera (date palm). RNAcentral describes it as "long non-coding RNA (PDAC_LNC014998)". The record is from RNAcentral. Lineage: Eukaryota; Viridiplantae; Streptophyta; Magnoliopsida; Arecales; Arecaceae.
UGUUUUCUAUCUAAAGCCAUGUUUAGGCUUGGAUUUUUAGUUGAGUCAUGUACUAGUACUGCCAAGCAAAAAGGAUCCACUUAGGUGCGAUAGAAAGCCUAACCUAACUCCAAACCACCACACUUAAUUGCUUGAGCCUUAGCCUUUCUUCAAUACCCACGGUCAUCACUCAUCUCUAGGAAUGGAGGAGGAUGGAUGAUAGUCUUGAAAAUAGAAUUGUGCAUGCAUGGAAGAAAGAAGAAAGAAGAAGAAAUCCUAAAAAGGUGAGUGCCACCAUGGGCGAAGCCCUGAGAGAUCCUUUUUCUUCUACUUUCAUCCUGCUUCUUGAUCUAUUUCUUAUUGGAGCCACUUUCUUGACCCCGUCAUCCUUCAUCUCGAUACCUUGGUGAAGCGCGGCCUGAGGAUUCUUAUUGGAUUGGAGAGAACAAACUCGCAGAGGUAAUUAUCCGACUAGUUCUAUCACCAUCUUUUGCCCAGCCCUCGUUUCUUCAUCCAUCAAUCAUUAUCUCCACCCAUCAUCAUUACCAUCGUUGCCAUCUAUCACAUCCUUGGAACCCUAGUUUACUGGCAGUAUUUUUUUAUUGUUCUGUUGUGGUUAUUUUCAGUUUGCUGCCCUAGUUAUAUUUCAUUGAUUUGGCUUCAUUAAUAAAAUAUUUAUCAUGUUUUGUUUUACGUUCACAUACCUGUAUGAUAAUCUUUUAGGAUGAUAAGUAUUUGCUGAAGUAUCUAAUCAAUCGCACCAUAAUUGAGUAUUAUGAAAUCAAUCUACACCUGUAGUAAUCGAUUAUAGAUUGCACCAGAUAAUAAUGAGCAAACACUAGGCUACUAAUUAUAACCGGAACCGUUUAGUGUGGUAUAUCAACAGUAGACUAUGGGCCUAGUAAGUUUUGAGUUCUAUACGUCUAGCUAUAACACUUAUCCCAUGCCAGAAUCAAAAUUGGCCUACAUCAAGGCCCAUCAGCACUCCUGUCUCUAAGCUAUCUCCAAGUUAUUUUUUCACAUACUUAAUUUAGCAUAUAAGACCAUUUCUCCCCUCAUCAAUUAAAACUACAUUGUUCAUGCUAAUCUUUUAAGAGAAUAAGGGUGUGUAGGUCUAAAGUUGGAUUAAUAACAUAGGCAUGAGAGUAUUUCCCAUGCUAGUUAUCUCCGUACAUGUCACGUAAGGUGCUAAGUAUAGCCUGCAAUGUUCUCAAUGAAUGUUUACCAUGACAAUAAAACAAAUGACCGUUUCAAACAAGGUAUAAAAAUCAGAUGGCAAAAGUG